RNAcentral lists this ribosomal RNA (253 nucleotides) under uncultured bacterium. RNAcentral's name for it is "partial 16S ribosomal RNA". It matches the Rfam family "Bacterial small subunit ribosomal RNA", at positions 524 to 776 of the family's 1533-position model. The record is from RNAcentral.
UACGGAGGGUGCAAACGUUGCUCGGAAUCAUUGGGCGUAAAGCGCACGUAGGCGGCCUGUUAAGUCGGAUGUGAAAGCCCCGGGCUCAACCCGGGAAGUGCAUUCGAAACUGGCGGGCUUGAAUAUGGAAGAGGGUCGCGGAAUUCCCGGUGUAGAGGUGAAAUUCGUAGAUAUCUGGAGGAAUACCGGUGGCGAAGGCGGCAUCCUGGACCGACAUUGACGCUGAACGGCGAAAGCUAGGGGAGCAAACGGG